This is a long non-coding RNA of Gymnogyps californianus (California condor), 641 nucleotides long. RefSeq lists it as uncharacterized. The record is from RefSeq and is a predicted model, not a curated record. Lineage: Eukaryota; Metazoa; Chordata; Aves; Accipitriformes; Cathartidae. The transcript has 4 exons.
GCGGGCUGAGCCCCUAGUUCGGCCUGUCCCUCCCCGGGUGCUCCCCGCGGGAAAGAGCUGUUGCUUCAGGACACGGCUCCGGGUGAGGCUGGAGGAAAGCAGCACUGUAACCUGGAGGUUAUAUUGCUGAAUGCAAACACUUGUGAAAAUGCAAAGAAGCAAUGGAAAUAAGAAGGAAGUGAACUUAUUUGAACUUUCAGGAAAGACCUUAAACCCCAUUCAACAUAUUUAAAAAAGGGAUGAUGCUGUAGAUGCAUUGAAGUUCUUAUACUCAUGAAAGAUUUUAUUCAUCCAACACUUGUGCGAGGGCGACAGAGUCAGUUAAUGAAAAAGAUGAGCAAUUUGGAUCGAAAAAGGACACCGAGUUGGCAGUGAAAACUGACAGUACAAGCCGACCCUGUUUGGUGGAAACAAAUAACGCUGGUGGGAGGCCUGGAGUCACCUCGCCAUUCCUUGUGUGUGUUGCACCGGCUGCAGUGGAGUUUCUUUGCCAGCACGCUGGAUGCAGAGCUGGGAGAAAAAGUGAACGAGUUGCCAGGGGCUGUCUGGAUGGGAUGCGUGUACAGAGGAAGUGUGAGCCAUCACACCAGCUAUUUGGCAGUUGAGGAACCUGUCUGCAAAAACCAGGCCUUCUCUGAAAU